UAGGGAAUCUUGGACAAUGGGCGAAAGCCUGAUCCAGCCAUGCCGCGUGAGUGAUGAAGGCCUUAGGGUUGUAAAGCUCUUUCGCCAGGGAAGAUAAUGACGGUACCUGGAUGAGAAGCCCCGGCAAACUUCGUGCCAGCAGCCGCGGUAAUACGAAGGGGGCUAGCGUUGUUCGGAAUUACUGGGCGUAAAGCGCACGUAGGCGGCUUUCCAAGUUGGAGGUGAAAUCCCCGGGCUUAACUCGGGAACUGCCUCCAAAAACUGGACGGCUCGAGUCCGAGAGAGGUGAGUGGAAUUUCCAGUGUAGAGGUGAAAUUCGUAGAUAUUGGAAAGAACACCAGUGGCGAAGGCGGCUCACUGGCUCGGUACUGACGCUGAGGUGCGACAGCGUGGGGGAGCAAACAGGAUUAGAUACCCUGGUAGUCCACGCCGUAAACGAUGGGUGCUAGUUGUCAGGCAGCUUGCUGUUUGGUGACGCAGCUAACGCAUUAAGCACCCCGCCUGGGGGAGUACGGUCGCAAGAUUAAAACUCAAAGGAAUUGACGGGGUCAUAGC
This 555-nucleotide ribosomal RNA is filed under the name uncultured bacterium. RNAcentral's name for it is "partial 16S ribosomal RNA". It matches the Rfam family "Bacterial small subunit ribosomal RNA", at positions 355 to 925 of the family's 1533-position model. The record is from RNAcentral.